AAGGAAACAAUUAGUGAUAGGCCAACCAACAGACACCCACCUCGGUCUUCUUCUUCUUCUUCCUCCUUCGUAGGUCAGAUCUCUAUCUUUUUCUCUCUCUCUUUCUCUACAGCUUUGUCUGUUCUUCUGUUUUUCUUUCUCUCUGUAGAGCUUUUGUACGUGUAUGAACAGUCAGCCAACAACAACAACUGCUACCCGCGGAGUUGAGCAGCACCCGCUUUAAAUCCACUCAACCAUCAUUCGUCUCUUGGCAGAAAAAGGUCAAGACUUUACCCAACUUAUUACUCUAUUAGCUUUCGUUGCCUUCCUAUUUUGUUUUCUUUUCAAAUAUGUGAAGUUCAAUUCAGAUAAUUUAAUUGCUUUAAAUGAUCAGAUUUGCUGUAUGAAUUUGAUAAAUCAACCAUCCUAACAAAAAUCCUUUUUAAAGUUAACUUGAUGAAAAAAGCUUAAUUUACAAAAAUUUAUAUCUAUAAAAUUGAUUGAAAGAUAGUCAACGAACUUUUUUGAAUGUAACUUAAAGAUAUAAUGUGAAAUAAUCAAAUAAAAAUAAGUGUAGUAGAGAUAAAACGAGGAUAAAGUUUAUACAUUUACUAUAAUAAUUGAAGUUGGUAUUUAUACAAAACAGAACAAUAGUGACAAUACUUUCGUACACACCACAUCAAAUGUUAAGUUGACCGAUCUCUUCUUAGUGCACUUUUGUUCAAUAUUUUGCUUUUUCUUAGCGUUUGCUAGCUCUUUAAGAGUCGAAAUUCAUCAACUUACCCUAUGUAUUACUCAAACUUCCUUCUGGAUGCACUUUUUUCGGUACCUAGCUUUUCAAAACCGAAACCCAUCAAUAAAAUUCAGAUAUUACUAUUUGUUUUUCUAAUGUUGUUUUAUCUUAUGAUGUGUAUAAAAAAUAUCUUAUAUAUUCAUAUUUUGAGUGGCAAAAUGGAAAUGUGGUGAUUCUCUUUGCAGAUAAAACAAGGAGAGUAGAGAAUAAAUCUAGCAAAAAAAUAUAAAAGAAGAAUAGGAAUAUUCUUGAUUUUAAUAAUUCAGAGAAACUAGCUAGGUAGGAAUAUUAAAAUGGUGGGAGGUGGCCUCCAUUCACGAAUGGGACACCAACAACUAAAUUCUUUGUUCAUGUGUAAAGAGAAAAAACAAAUUGAUUUGAUAAUAUUUGUUAGGUUUGGUUGUUGUGUGAUAAGAUUUAAGGAGAGCUAAUUGGAUUUAGGGUUUGGAUAUUGGAAUUAGCUCAUCUUAGAGGUAUAUCCCUAAUUUCUAUAGUUUGUUGGACCAUGGGCGUAGUGAGGAUUGUAUAUAUUUAACUAUCGGUCAAAGUAUAUAAAGAUGGUUAGUUUGGUGAGAUUGACAAUUAGUAUUCACAUAUAGCUUGUAAGGAAUAAUUUUGUGUCAAUUUCUUCGAGUCUUUGAUUAUUCUUCAUGGGUUUUGGGUUAUAUCCGAUGAUUUACCCCGUAAAUAUGUAUUUGGUAGGCCUAUAGGAGGAAGCACACAAGGCCAAGGCGGAGGUCACAUAGCAUAUGAGGGAAACUGUAAAGGAGUUAAUGAUGUAGCGGCAUCAGAAUAAAUCGGCUCACAUUCACGAUUAGAUGUAUAGUAUGUAACAUAAGGGGAGCUUAUAAUGUGUAAUAACACCCAUCGGCGUGCAAUAGAAUAUCACUCUCACUUUCUAUCAUGGAUAGAAAACAAAUUAUUUGCUACUUUCUUCAUCAAUGUAUCUUUCUCAAAGUAUUAUUACGAAUCUUAUCGAACCAUCGAGACAA
This 1764-nucleotide long non-coding RNA is filed under the name Linum usitatissimum (flax). RNAcentral's name for it is "long non-coding RNA (LUSI_LNC005490)". The record is from RNAcentral. Lineage: Eukaryota; Viridiplantae; Streptophyta; Magnoliopsida; Malpighiales; Linaceae.